Molecule: transfer RNA, 72 nt
Filed under: Schistosoma japonicum
Lineage: Eukaryota; Metazoa; Platyhelminthes; Trematoda; Strigeidida; Schistosomatidae
Description: tRNA-Pro
Source: RNAcentral
AGCUCAGUGGUUCAAUGGUAAAGCGCUUGUCGCGGAGACAGAAGGUCCUGGGUUCGAUACCCAAUAGGGUCG